AUGAACGCUGGCGGCGUGCCUAAUACAUGCAAGUCGAACGCAUAGCGAAAGGUGCUUGCACCUUUCAAGUGAGUGGCGAACGGGUGAGUAACACGUGGACAACCUGCCUCAAGGCUGGGGAUAACAUUUGGAAACAGAUGCUAAUACCGAAUAAAACUUAGUGUCGCAUGACACAAAGUUAAAAGGCGCUUCGGCGUCACCUAGAGAUGGAUCCGCGGUGCAUUAGUUAGUUGGUGGGGUAAAGGCCUACCAAGACAAUGAUGCAUAGCCGAGUUGAGAGACUGAUCGGCCACAUUGGGACUGAGACACGGCCCAAACUCCUACGGGAGGCUGCAGUAGGGAAUCUUCCACAAUGGGCGAAAGCCUGAUGGAGCAACGCCGCGUGUGUGAUGAAGGCUUUCGGGUCGUAAAGCACUGUUGUAUGGGAAGAACAGCUAGAAUAGGAAAUGAUUUUAGUUUGACGGUACCAGACCAGAAAGGGACGGCUAAAUACGUG
This 496-nucleotide ribosomal RNA is filed under the name uncultured bacterium. RNAcentral describes it as "partial 16S ribosomal RNA". It matches the Rfam family "Bacterial small subunit ribosomal RNA", at positions 29 to 507 of the family's 1533-position model. The record is from RNAcentral.